This is a non-coding RNA of Otolemur garnettii (small-eared galago), 294 nucleotides long. NCBI's taxonomy places the organism in Eukaryota, Metazoa, Chordata, Mammalia, Primates, Galagidae. The record is from Rfam.
GCCGGGCGCGGUGGCGUGGGCCUGUAGUCCCAGCUACUCCGGAGGCUGAGACAGGAAGAUCGCUUGAGUCCAGGAGUUCUGAGCUGUAGUGCGCUAUGCCGAUCGGGUGUCCGCACUAAGUUCAGCAUCAGUAUGGUGACCUCCCGGGAGCGGAGGGUCACCACGUUGCCUAAGGAGGGGUGAACCGGCCCAGGUCGGAAACAGAGCAGGUCAAAGAAAAUGUGCAUUCUAUUUGUUCAUGCAUCGGUGUGUACAUGUUUAAUAUCACAAACCUGAGCAAAUUACGUGACAAAU